RNAcentral lists this ribosomal RNA (468 nucleotides) under uncultured bacterium. RNAcentral's name for it is "partial 16S ribosomal RNA". It matches the Rfam family "Bacterial small subunit ribosomal RNA", at positions 28 to 507 of the family's 1533-position model. The record is from RNAcentral.
GACGAACGCUGGCGGCGUGCUUAACACAUGCAAGUCGAACGGAAAGGCCCUGCUUUUGUGGGGUGCUCGAGUGGCGAACGGGUGAGUAACACGUGAGUAACCUGCCCUUGACUUUGGGAUAACUUCAGGAAACUGGGGCUAAUACCGGAUAGGAGCUCCUGCUGCAUGGUGGGGGUUGGAAAGUUUCGGCGGUUGGGGAUGGACUCGCGGCUUAUCAGCUUGUUGGUGGGGUAGUGGCUUACCAAGGCUUUGACGGGUAGCCGGCCUGAGAGGGUGACCGGCCACAUUGGGACUGGAAUGCGGCCCAGACUCCUACGGGAGGCAGCAGUGGGGAAUAUUGCACAAUGGGCUGAAGCCUGGUGCAGCAACGCCGCGUGCGGGAUGACGGCCUUCGGGUUGUAAACCGCUUUCGCCUGUGACGAAGCGUGAGUGACGGUAAUGGGUAAAGAAGCACCGGCUAACUACGUG